UCGAGACCAGCCUGACCAACAUGGAGAAACCCCGUCUCUACUAAAAAUACAAAAUUAGCCGGGCGUGGGGUGGCGCAUGCCUGUAAUUCCAGCUACUCCUGAGGCUGUGGCAGCAGAAUCGCUUGAACCCGGGAGACAGAGGUUGCAGUGAGUUGAGAUCAAGCCAUCGCACUCCAGCCUGGGCAACAGAGUGAGACUCUGUCAAAAAAGAAAGUGUGGUACAUCUAUACUAAUGGAGUACUAUUUAGCCGUCAAAGAAAAAAAAGAAAAGAAAAAGAAAGAGAAAGAAAGAAAGAAGGAAAGAAAGAAAGAAAAAGAAAAUGAAGGCGAUUGUCAACAGCCUCUGGAAAUACAGAGCAGGGUCCAGAAAUGGCCCCUUCUUAGAUGGCGGGCUGGACAGUGCUGCUCCUUCUUAGCCACUGGCGGCAGAAAGACAAAGCCUGGUAAUUGUUCUUGGGAUUCUCCCUGUCACCUCUCCUUGUAGGUCACAAGCUUCCUGAUGCGACAGCCCGUGGGACUACUAGAAGGAAAGAUACUCCUUUUCCCAUUUUACAGAUCAGGAAACUGAGACUGGACAGAAACACCACCAGGAUUGAACUGUGAAUGGAUCUGACUCCAACCCACAAAUUCUUCACCUGGUCUCGAAAAGAGGCCCUGGCAACCUACUGCGCACCAGAGGGGAACCCGCCCGCCGUCCCAGGCCGGGCUCUCCCUGCUGCGGAGCGGCCCGGGCGCGGCGGGACAGGGAACGGAAGGAACGGGCUUGGCGCGCACUCGCCGAGGCCCAGGCAGGAUUCGAGCGCCAGGGAGGCGCCCAUUUCCCUUCCCCCGCGCCUGGGAACGCGGUGCUGGGGGCGGGGCCCGACCGCUGCCCCCUCCAAACGCCUCGACCGCCAGGUGCCCCGAAGCCCGGCCUCCCCUCCCACCCCCGCGCCUGUUCCCGGCGCAGCCCGAGCCGUGGCAGUCACGUCUCCCCAUCCGGCCCCAAAGUAAGAGCCAGCCG
This 1003-nucleotide long non-coding RNA is filed under the name Homo sapiens (human). Its description in RNAcentral is "non-protein coding GASAL1:31". Lineage: Eukaryota; Metazoa; Chordata; Mammalia; Primates; Hominidae. The record is from RNAcentral.